UAUAGGAGCAGCCAUGGCCACCAAUGACCGCUGCCUCGCCCUGAUCCGGUAGGAAUCGACCUCCUGCGGCCGAAUCCGCCCCAUCCCGACCUCAUUGGCCCUCCUCCCGGUCUUUGUCACGAUCCACCGCCAGGCUCUAAGACCAGCGCCUCCCUCUGAAUUUUAGUACGUUUUGUAUGUCCGUCCCACAAUCCCAUUAUCUAGCAGCAACUGUCGCCACCGCCAGCAGCAGCCGUGCCCGGAGAUGCCCUCGUGGGCCGGUGCCGGCCAAGGAAGUCGCCAACUCGGACACCCUGCUAACCUUCCCCGAGGACGACGAGCACGACAAGGCGGCGGCAGAGGACGAGGCCAAGGCAUGUGUACAGGACAAGCCGAGGACGAGGCCCUGGAUUUCAUCGUCGAGGAGGAGCUGGUGGUUGAGGUGAAGGAGGAGGUCGUGGUGGUGUGGAGGAGGUCGAGGAGUAUGUGGAGCCGUCGGAGGAGGCCAAGGUGUACGUGUUCAACCUUCCCUAUGACGUCAGCAGCGAGUGCCUCGCGCAGCUCUUCGAUCAGGCCGGUGUCGUUGAGGUUGCCGAGUUGAGCAUCUCUUCCUUUUAGACCAUCCUGAAUGCUGGAUGCUAGCAAAAGUUGUUGGGAUUUGUUUCCCAGUCGAUCGGCCUGGAUGCAUCAAGCGCUUGGAUAUUUUCCUCUGCAGGAGGCCAGCGCCGUCGAGGUUAUCGUGGUGAGCAGCUCUUCCUCUUAGACCAUCUUCAGUGCUGGAUGAUAGUUUCACAGUUGAUAUGUGGCAUCGGUGACAAAAGAUGCAUCAAGUUUGCACAAGGCGACCCACAUUAUAGAUGAUGUUAGCGUGCUGCCGCUGUCAUUCCUUUUUAGACACACGCACAUUUUGUCUGGUGAAGGGAGUGCCUCAAAUCAUCAGACCACUCAUUAUGUGUCAUGUUCUUGCAAGACUGAAACUGUAAAUGAUGACUGAUUUAAUGUGGUGGUUGUGUUGUUGAACCUCAUAUGAUGGAGCAACCAGCCGUGGUGCAGAGGCUAGAUAGUUUUAGUAUUCAGACUUUCAGUUGCUGCUAGCUCUACUCUGCUUUGUUCUUUCGUAAUGGCAAUGUAGCGGCUGUGUGAUAUGAUUGCAACGCCGAGUCUUCACUGCAUAUUACCUACCGGAACUGAUAUGUUUUUGUCGACACAAAAAUCUAACCUGAAUUUGCUAUUCAGGUGGCAAAUCCAACAAUUUAUGUACUGUAUUUGCAUUUUUGAAGGCUGCAUCGUCGGGUUUCUCAUAACAUGUUGGUAGAUUUUAUUUAUUGUCUUCUUAAGAAAUAGAUCGACCCAAAACAUUGUUCAUAUUUACAUGUUGAUUAUUUUCGUAGAUUUAUAAUCCAAAUACAUGACCCAGUACAAGAUUACGAGCUUGGAGUCGUCCUUCUUGUUUGGGAGGGCAGAUUUGGUACUAAACACUUAAUUGGUGUUGAUAGACUUGUACUGUGAAAAAUAAUGGUAAUAUGAACAGACUGAUAGUGGUACACAUAGGGUGACAAGGAGUUAUUAUUUUCAUUCCUAUAUGCAACUUUUCUGGCACUAACCAAUAGUAUUGUGCUGCCAGAACACC
Triticum aestivum (bread wheat) is the source of this 1609-nucleotide long non-coding RNA. RefSeq lists it as uncharacterized. The record is from RefSeq and is a predicted model, not a curated record. NCBI's taxonomy places the organism in Eukaryota, Viridiplantae, Streptophyta, Magnoliopsida, Poales, Poaceae. The transcript is spliced from 4 exons.